UUUGAGAGUUUGAUCCUAGCUCAGGGUGAACGCUGGCGGCGUGGAUAAGGCAUGCAAGUCAAGGGGUCCGCCUUCGGGCGGAAACCGGCAAACGAGUUAGUAACACGUAGGUAACUACCCAUCACACGGGCAUAGCCAGCCGAAAGGCUGGGUAAUUCCCGAUGGUCUCGCGAGAGUAAAGUCCGCCAACCGGCGGAUGGUGGUGGAAGUGCCUGCGUCCUAUCAGCUUGUUGGUGGGGUAACGGCCUACCAAGGCUUUGACGGGUAGGGGACGUGAGAGCGUGUUCCCCAACGAUGGGACUGAGAUACGGCCCAUACUCCUACGGGAGGCAGCAGUCGAGAAUAUUGGACAAUGGAGGAAACUCUGAUCCAGCGACGCCGCGUGCGGGAUGACAGCCCUUGGGUUGUAAACCGCUUUUAAUUGGGAAGAAUCCGCCGCAAGGCGGAUGACGGUACCGAUUGAAUAAGGGGGUGCUAAUUCUGUGCCAGCAGCCGCGGUAAAACAGAACCCCCAAGCGUUACCCGAAUUUAUUGGGCGUAAAGUGUGCGUAGCCGGUUUGGCAAGUCGCGGGUUAAAUCUCGAAGGCUCAACCUUUGAGCUGCCCGCGAAACUGCCAGACUUGAGGGCGUUAGGGGCUGAUGGAACUCUUGGUGGAGGGGUGAAAUCCGUUGAUAUCAAGAGGAACACCAAAAGCGAAGGCAUUCAGCUGGGGCGACCCUGACGGUGAGGCACGAAAGCGUGGGGAGCAAAAAGGAUUAGAUACCCUUGUAGUCCACGCCGUAAACUAUGGAUACUGGCUAUGUGAAGUGUCGACCCUUCACGUGGCGAAGCUAACGCGUUAAGUAUCCCGCCUGGGAAGUACGGCCGCAAGGCUAAAACUCAAAGGAAUAGACGGGGGCCCACACAAGCGGUGGAUCAUGCGGCUUAAUUCGUCAACAACCGAGGAACCUUACCAGGGCUGGAAACACUCGUGAAAUCCGUCAGAAAUGGCGGACUUCCGCAAGGACUCGAGUUCAGGUGAUGCACGGCUGUCGUCAGCAUGUAUCUUGAGACGCUCCGUUAAAUCGGGUAACAUGCGCAACCCUUACCCUGUGUUUUAUGUGUCACAGGGAACUGCCUGAGACAAUCAGGAGGAAGGUGAGGAUGACGCCAAGUCAGCGUGUCCCUUUGAUGUCCUGGGCUGCACGCAUGAUACAAUGGCGAGGACAGCGGGUAGCAACGCGGCAACGCGAAGCUAAUCCCUUAAACCUCGUCUCAGUUCGGAUUGAGGUCUGCAACUCGACCUCAUGAAGCCGGAAUCGCUAGUAAUCGCGUAUCAGCUAUGGCGCGAUGAAUAUGUUCCUGGGCCUUGUACUCACCGCCCGUCACGUUAAGCAAGCUGGGAAUAGCCGAAGGUCCGCCAUAGGCGGAUUCAAGCUAGGCUCAGUGAGAGGAACGAAGUCGUAACAAGGCACCGGUAGGGGAACCUGUCGGUGGAUCACUAC
Molecule: ribosomal RNA, 1485 nt
Filed under: Candidatus Yanofskybacteria bacterium GW2011_GWC1_48_11
Lineage: Bacteria; Candidatus Yanofskyibacteriota
Description: bacterial SSU rRNA
Rfam family: Bacterial small subunit ribosomal RNA
Source: RNAcentral